Physella acuta is the source of this 383-nucleotide long non-coding RNA. RefSeq lists it as uncharacterized. The record is from RefSeq and is a predicted model, not a curated record. Lineage: Eukaryota; Metazoa; Mollusca; Gastropoda; Physidae.
UCCUAUAAAAGCCAAAAACUAAAUGAGUCGCCAAACUUGAUCAACUCAAUUAGAACCCACCUACAUCAAAUUUUAGUUCUUGAUCUACAACAGAACAUAGAUUUCAAUGAUGAAACUUGUAAUGCUGUUCCUUUUUCUGGCGGUCUUUGCAACCACGGUAUCUGCUGUAUCUGAUCCCAGUUUUGGCUAUCUGACCCUUGUGGAUAACCACAUGUUUGCGGAUAUGGCGUUCCCGGGGGACAGGACUAGGAUCUCUCAGGGGCAGGAGAGAACCGCCCGAUAAUGGCGAGCUAGUCGAGUGCUCGAUUCUCAGUACUGGUGGAAAAAUAAAGUAGUCGAGAACUCGUCAGUACUGAUGGAAAUAAUAAAAAAAUAACUGAAGU